AUGGGUGCAGCGUGCUGGUCGCCGGCGCAGAUCUGGCGGGUAGGUCUGGAUGCCACGGAUCCGGCUUUGGGAGUGCAAGAUGGGCAGUUUCUCUGCCCCGUUCUGCUCCUCUGGAGUCCAGGGGGGCGGAAGGAGACGGCCGCUGGCCGGAGGUUCGUGGCUGGCGGCCCGGGAGGGGCACUGCCGGCUGCUGGUGGUGCCUGGUUGCCGCUUGUUGGAGCAGGGUGGCUCCAGCCGCGGUUGGGUGCGAGGUGCAGGACCCGAUUUGGUCUCUGUAGGCCCGUCGUUGAGGAGGUUUGCGGGUGGCCCUACGUAGCAGUGGCGUGCCCGUUGUGUGGGGGGUGCGCGGUCCAUUGGAGGUACGGGUUGACCUCGGCCUGCUGCAUGGGAGUGGCUGCGCAGGGUGAAAGCCUGGUCGGUGCUGACCGGCAGGCGGCGACGGCGCCUAUGGGCGUCGCUAUCCUCCUUGGAGGCGUUGUCGGGAAUCUUCACAGCCUCUACUCCCGGAUCAAGUUCUUCAGGUGA
RNAcentral lists this ribosomal RNA (525 nucleotides) under Triticum aestivum (bread wheat). Its description in RNAcentral is "partial small subunit ribosomal RNA". The record is from RNAcentral. Lineage: Eukaryota; Viridiplantae; Streptophyta; Magnoliopsida; Poales; Poaceae.